AGCGUACACGGUGGAUGCCCUGGCAGUCAGAGGCGAUGAAGGACGUGCUAAUCUGCGAAAAGCGUCGGUAAGGUGAUAUGAACCGUUAUAGCCGGCGAUGUCCGAAUGGGGAAACCCAGUGUGAUUCGUCACACUAUCGUUAACUGAAUACAUAGGUUAACGAGGCGAACCGGGGGAACUGAAACAUCUAAGUACCCCGAGGAAAAGAAAUCAACCGAGAUUCCCCCAGUAGCGGCGAGCGAACGGGGAGCAGCCCAGAGUCUGAAUCAGCUUGUGUGUUAGUGGAACGGUCUGGAAAGUCCGACGGUACAGGGUGAUAGUCCCGUACACCAAAAUGCACAGGUUGUGAACUCGAAGAGUAGGGCGGGACACGUGGUAUCCUGUCUGAAUAUGGGGGGACCAUCCUCCAAGGCUAAAUACUCCUGACUGACCGAUAGUGAACCAGUACCGUGAGGGAAAGGCGAAAAGAACCCCGGCGAGGGGAGUGAAAAAGAACCUGAAACCGUGUACGUACAAGCAGUGGGAGCACCUUCGGGUGUGACUGCGUACCUUUUGUAUAAUGGGUCAGCGACUUAUAUUCUGUAGCAAGGUUAACCGUAUAGGGGAGCCGCAGGGAAACCGAGUCUUAACUGGGCGUUAAGUUGCAGGGUAUAGACCCGAAACCCGGUGAUCUAGCCAUGGGCAGGUUGAAGGUUGGGUAACACUAACUGGAGGACCGAACCGACUAAUGUUGAAAAAUUAGCGGAUGACUUGUGGCUGGGGGUGAAAGGCCAAUCAAACCGGGAGAUAGCUGGUUCUCCCCGAAAGCUAUUUAGGUAGCGCCUCGUGAAUUCAUCUUCGGGGGUAGAGCACUGUUUCGGCUAGGGGGUCAUCCCGACUUACCAACCCGAUGCAAACUACGAAUACCGAAGAAUGUUAUCACGGGAGACACACGGCGGGUGCUAACGUCCGUCGUGAAGAGGGAAACAACCCAGACCGCCAGCUAAGGUCCCAAAGUCAUGGUUAAGUGGGAAACGAUGUGGGAAGGCACAGACAGCCAGGAUGUUGGCUUAGAAGCAGCCAUCAUUUAAAGAAAGCGUAAUAGCUCACUGGUCGAGUCGGCCUGCGCGGAAGAUGUAACGGGGCUAAACCAUGCACCGAAGCUGCGGCAGCGACACUAUGUGUUGUUGGGUAGGGGAGCGUUCUGUAAGCCUGCGAAGGUGUGCUGUGAGGCAUGCUGGAGGUAUCAGAAGUGCGAAUGCUGACAUAAGUAACGAUAAAGCGGGUGAAAAGCCCGCUCGCCGGAAGACCAAGGGUUCCUGUCCAACGUUAAUCGGGGCAGGGUGAGUCGACCCCUAAGGCGAGGCCGAAAGGCGUAGUCGAUGGGAAACAGGUUAAUAUUCCUGUACUUGGUGUUACUGCGAAGGGGGGACGGAGAAGGCUAUGUUAGCCGGGCGACGGUUGUCCCGGUUUAAGCAUGUAGGCUGGUUGUCCAGGCAAAUCCGGAUAAUCAAGGCUGAGGUGUGAUGACGAGGCACUACGGUGCUGAAGUAACAAAUGCCCUGCUUCCAGGAAAAGCCUCUAAGCAUCAGGUAACAUCAAAUCGUACCCCAAACCGACACAGGUGGUCAGGUAGAGAAUACCAAGGCGCUUGAGAGAACUCGGGUGAAGGAACUAGGCAAAAUGGUGCCGUAACUUCGGGAGAAGGCACGCUGGUGUGUAGGUGAAGCCCCUGCGGGUGGAGCUGAGACCAGUCGAAGAUACCAGCUGGCUGCAACUGUUUAUUAAAAACACAGCACUGUGCAAACACGAAAGUGGACGUAUACGGUGUGACGCCUGCCCGGUGCCGGAAGGUUAAUUGAUGGGGUUAUCCGUAAGGAGAAGCUCUUGAUCGAAGCCCCGGUAAACGGCGGCCGUAACUAUAACGGUCCUAAGGUAGCGAAAUUCCUUGUCGGGUAAGUUCCGACCUGCACGAAUGGCGUAAUGAUGGCCAGGCUGUCUCCACCCGAGACUCAGUGAAAUUGAACUCGCUGUGAAGAUGCAGUGUACCCGCGGCAAGACGGAAAGACCCCGUGAACCUUUACUAUAGCUUGACACUGAACAUUGAGCCUUGAUGUGUAGGAUAGGUGGGAGGCUUUGAAGCGUGGACGCCAGUCUGCGUGGAGCCAACCUUGAAAUACCACCCUUUAAUGUUUGAUGUUCUAACGUUGGCCCCUGACCGGGGUUGCGGACAGUGUCUGGUGGGUAGUUUGACUGGGGCGGUCUCCUCCCAAAGCGUAACGGAGGAGCACGAAGGUUAGCUAAUCCUGGUCGGACAUCAGGAGGUUAGUGCAAUGGCAUAAGCUAGCUUGACUGCGAGCGUGACGGCGCGAGCAGGUGCGAAAGCAGGUCAUAGUGAUCCGGUGGUUCUGAAUGGAAGGGCCAUCGCUCAACGGAUAAAAGGUACUCCGGGGAUAACAGGCUGAUACCGCCCAAGAGUUCAUAUCGACGGCGGUGUUUGGCACCUCGAUGUCGGCUCAUCACAUCCUGGGGCUGAAGUAGGUCCCAAGGGUAUGGCUGUUCGCCAUUUAAAGUGGUACGCGAGCUGGGUUUAGAACGUCGUGAGACAGUUCGGUCCCUAUCUGCCGUGGGCGCUGGAGAAUUGAGGGGGGCUGCUCCUAGUACGAGAGGACCGGAGUGGACGCAUCACUGGUGUUCGGGUUGUCAUGCCAAUGGCACUGCCCGGUAGCUAAAUGCGGAAGAGAUAAGUGCUGAAAGCAUCUAAGCACGAAACUUGCCCCGAGAUGAGUUCU
RNAcentral lists this ribosomal RNA (2771 nucleotides) under Klebsiella pneumoniae. RNAcentral describes it as "bacterial LSU rRNA". It matches the Rfam family "Bacterial large subunit ribosomal RNA". The record is from RNAcentral. Lineage: Bacteria; Pseudomonadati; Pseudomonadota; Gammaproteobacteria; Enterobacterales; Enterobacteriaceae.